RNAcentral lists this microRNA (21 nucleotides) under Macaca mulatta (Rhesus monkey). RNAcentral's name for it is "mml-miR-150-3p". Its record names the gene mml-miR-150-3p. RNAcentral also lists the same sequence under 3 other names. Lineage: Eukaryota; Metazoa; Chordata; Mammalia; Primates; Cercopithecidae. The record is from miRBase by way of RNAcentral.
CUGGUACAGGCCUGGGGGACA